UACGUAGGGUGCGAGCGUUAAUCGGAAUUACUGGGCGUAAAGCGUGCGCAGGCGGUUCGUUAAGUUCGUUGUGAAAGCCCCGGGCUCAACCUGGGAACUGCAAUGGAAACUGGCGGGCUUGAGUGUGGCAGAGGGGGGUGGAAUUCCGCGUGUAGCAGUGAAAUGCGUAGAGAUGCGGAGGAACACCGAUGGCGAAGGCAGCCCCCCUGGGCCAACACUGACGCUCAGGCACGAAAGCGUGGGGAGCAAACAGGG
RNAcentral lists this ribosomal RNA (255 nucleotides) under uncultured bacterium. RNAcentral describes it as "partial 16S ribosomal RNA". It matches the Rfam family "Bacterial small subunit ribosomal RNA", at positions 524 to 777 of the family's 1533-position model. The record is from RNAcentral.